Molecule: ribosomal RNA, 465 nt
Filed under: uncultured bacterium
Lineage: Bacteria
Description: partial 16S ribosomal RNA
Rfam family: Bacterial small subunit ribosomal RNA
Source: RNAcentral
GACGAACGCUGGCGGCGUGCUUAACACAUGCAAGUCGAACGGAAAGGCCCCUUUGGGGGUACUCGAGUGGCGAACGGGUGCGUAACACGUGAGUAACCUGCCCUUGACUUCGGGAUAACUUCAGGAAACUGGGGCUAAUACCGGAUAGGAAUCCUUGCUGCAUGGUGGGGGUUGGAAAGCUUCGGCGGUUUUGGAUGGACUCGCGGCUUAUCAGCUUGUUGGUGGGGUAGUGGCUUACCAAGGCUUUGACGGGUAGCCGGCCUGAGAGGGCGACCGGCCACAUUGGGACUGAGGUACGGCCCAGACGCCUACGGGAGGCAGCAGUGGGGAAGAUUGCACAAUGGGCGGAAGCCUGAUGCAGCAACGCCGCGUGCGGGAUGACGGCCUUCGGGUUGUAAACCGCUUUCAGCAGGGGCGAAGCUUGUGGUGACGGUACCUGCAGAAGAAGCACCGGCUAACUACGUG